Long non-coding RNA from Aegilops tauschii subsp. strangulata, 1443 nucleotides. RefSeq lists it as uncharacterized. The record is from RefSeq and is a predicted model, not a curated record. NCBI's taxonomy places the organism in Eukaryota, Viridiplantae, Streptophyta, Magnoliopsida, Poales, Poaceae.
UUUUUUUUUCUUUUUCUUAAGGUGUUUUUCUUAGUAGCCAGAACAUUAGUUUGGCUUGUUUGAAAUGCAUGAAUUUUGCAUUAAUUUAUGGGAAUCUGACAGGAAUUAGCUGGGAAGUACUCCCUCUGUUCCGAAAUGUAGGUCGUUGGGGGUUUUUUAGUUCAACUUUCGUCUAGUAACGAAAUAUCGGCACUUUCCAAUUUUGCCCCCCGCGUCGCUCCACUCGCUCGCUCACCGCCCAGCCGCACUGCCCGCGCUCACUCUCUCCCACUCGCCCAGCCGCACUAGCCGGCCUCCCCGUCGCUCGCCGGCCUCCCCCCUCUCCCCGUAGCUCGCCGGCCUCCUCGUUGCUCGCCGGCCUCCCCGUCUCCCCGUAGCUCACCGGCCUCUCCCUCUUCCACCGCCAUUUCUCCACCACCCCGCCUCCACUCACACCCGGAGGUAAACAAAUUCCAAUCUUUUGCGCCGGCGACGAGCUUCUACUCCACGGAGGCGUGGAUGUGCAUGUGCUAGCGCUGGAUCUGGGCGACAGAGGCAUGGAUGUGGAGCGGCACCCGAGCGGCGGAUCUGGAGCGGUGCCGGAGCGGCGGAUCUGGAGCGACGUCGUCGUCAUCGCGGAGUAGCUGCUUCCUCCCGCGAACGAGAGGGAGGGGCAGAUGAUGACCGCCAUCAUGGAUUUGAAUCUUCUGUUCUUACAUUGCUGUAGUACUGGCUGCAGUCUUGCUGUACAAUCACUUGAGGAAUUCAAGGCCUGAUGCGUCCUUUUGGGAGCCAUGGCUACUUCUUCCUGUGCCCUGCGUCAGGAGAAGGAGCACGCCCAGGAGAAGAAGGAUCGGGAGAAGGCCCUGAGGACCUGGGAUCGCUGCUGCUAGAUCUGGAUCUGGGACCUGGGACUGCUGCUGCUGCGUGCUCCUUCUGGGAGACGAGGACCCUCCUUGGCGCCCCUGGAUCGCUACUGCUGGACGCCCCUGGAUCGCUGCUGCUGGAGAUGAGGACCUGGGCCUGGGAGCGCUGAGGAGAAGUAGGGGACCUGGGCCUGGGAGCGCCUGGGACCUGGGCGCGUGGAGGAGAAGCAGGGGCGGGCGGGCGGACGAUGGCCUGGCGGAGAAUUUCAAAUCCUCGGAGGGAGGAAGAAGACGAUGGGGAUACCGAUUCAUACUAGGGGCAGCGAUGUAAAUUCCACCGUGUUCACCUGGUCGGAACCAAUCCUCCAGCGACCUAUAUUUCGGAACGGAGGGAGUACUUUUCUCGACGCUUGAUGUAUUUCCCUUUUAAGCACGGGCUAGCUCUGUCAAUUCGUCAAUAAGAUAUUGUAGGAGUAAGAGCAGGAGUAAGGGGCAUAUCGUAGUCGAGAAAAAGAAAGGGCAUAUAGUGAUGCUUGGAAUUGGAAAGAACGGGGGUCAAACCAAAGGUAAAAUAUUAGAGAUAUGCAUCUUUUAUUCA